GGAAGGAAAGUUCCAUCUGGAUGACACAGUGUAGAUGUUGUGGUGGUGGGGGAAGGAAAGGUCCAUCUGGAUGACACAGUGUAGAUGUUGUGGUGGUGGGGGAAGGAAAGCUCCAUCUGGAUGACACAGUGUAGAUGUUGUGGUGGUGGGAAGGAAAGUUCCAUCUGGAUGACACAGUGUAGAUGUUGUGGUGGUGGGGGAAGGAAAGGUCCAUCUGGAUGACACAGUGUAGAUGUUGUAGUGGUGGGGGAAGGAAAGGUCCAUCUGGAUUACACAGUGUAGAUGUUGUGGUGGUUGGAAGGAAAGUUCCAUCUGGAUUACAUAGUGUAGAUGUUGUGGUGGUGGGGGAAGGAAAGUUCCAUCUGGAUUACACAGUGUAGAUGUUGUGGUGGUGGGGGAAGGAAAGUUCCAUCUGGAUUACAUAGUGUAGAUGUUGUGGUGGUGGGAAGGAAAGGUCCAUCUGGAUUACACAGUGUAGAUGUUGUGGUGGUGGGGGAAGGAAAGUUCCAUCUGGAUUACACAGUGUAGAUGUUGUGGUGGUGGGGGAAGGAAAGUUCCAUCUGGAUUACAUAGUGUAGAUGUUGUGGUGGUGGGGGAAGGAAAGGUCCAUCUGGAUUACACAGUGUAGAUGUUGUGGUGGUGGGGGAAGGAAAGUUCCAUCUGGAUGACACAGUGUAGAUGUUGUG
Molecule: long non-coding RNA, 686 nt
Filed under: Salmo salar (Atlantic salmon)
Lineage: Eukaryota; Metazoa; Chordata; Actinopteri; Salmoniformes; Salmonidae
Description: lncRNA (ENSSSAG00000100479.1)
Source: RNAcentral